AAUAAGUUACAAAAAAAAGAUUUUUGCACGAACGACGACUUCAAGAAACACUUUUAAAGUGUCUAAAUCGUUCCAAUGACGAAGUACUGUCAGCGAAAGCGCUUGCAUUGUUUGCUCUGUGUCGGAGGAAAUGAGCAGAAAUGCUUUUAUCUCCAGCACCGAGCAUUGGAUUUUUUUUCCCCUUUCCUCCAGAGGUUAUGGAGAAAGCUGCGUGUGAGACGCUGGCCACCAGCAGGACUUCCACUAGAGGCAGCCUGCGCUUCGGGAGCCUCAGCCAUCACUCCUUCUUCUCCAGACACAACCCUCAUCCUCACAGGGUCAGACAUAUGCAAGGGUUGAACGGUAAGCCGGUGUGUACGGUGAACGACGACUGGUUCGGCUUCACUCCGCUCUGUCCUCAUCCCCUCAUCAGGAGUCAAGUGUCUGGGAGCCGCUCCUCGGUGUUUCUCACCCCUGAGAUCGGCUCGGAGCGCUCUGGACCGCGAGCAGCUCUGAUCUCUGAAAGCUGGCGUGAGGAGCUGAAGGACUUGGCCACUAAAGUCAGUGUUUCCACGGCGGCUGAGGCUCCGCGGGACCAGAGAGAGCCGUCAGACGAGGACGUCCCUCGCAGGAAGACGCAGUACUCGUCUCAGUCGGGCCGGAUCAUCCCCGUCUCGUCCCGGGGAGGGAAGAAGCGCAGCAGGACGUCUCACAAGCGUCUGGAGGGAGUCGAGCUCAAGGUGCUGGAGCUCCUGUGUCAGAUCCUGCAGACCGAUUCUCUCUCCAUGGUUCAGCAGUGGCUUCUGUUGGCCGGCGACCGAGAGAAAGAGCUGGUUCAGGGCUUACUCCAGCAGGCCAUGGCCGACUCCGGCUCUCUGACUCAGCAGACGUCUGGAUCUGAGCUUCUGCCGCUGACGUCUCAAGAUCUGCCCGAUCACGUCUUCCUCAACUCGUCUGUCAGCCGCAGGAGGAUCAGCUCACAUCCUGAAGAGACAUUACCGGACAAACCAGGUGAGGCUUCUGUACCUGUGUCAGAUGUAUUGUGUUAUUAAUACGCCGCUGUCUCCCGGAGAGGAUCGACUUCAUGACUUCAUGCACGUGGGCUGCUUCUGGCAGAGAAGAGGAACGUUGCUCUCAGCCUUUAUUAAAACACCAUCUGGCUGCGUUUCAAAGCUUCUUGAGAGACGCUUUCCCCUGCGUUUCCUUUCAAAUGUGCUUCAGGAGCUGGCUGGGAUUUUCAAGGGACCUUCGAAGACUUCGAUUAGUGGACUUAAGUGGAACUGGAACUAAAGGGAAGAGUCACUUCAGGGCUGGGAUUGAGGAAAACCGUAUGCCAAGAUCUGUUGUCACUGUCAUUGAAGCUUUGAUGUUCAUGCAGCCCGUCCAUAAAAACGUUUAUUUAAACGUUCUACGCAUUAAAAAGAAGAGCGGAUCGGAGAGGCAGAAGUUCUCACGCUGUACCCAGAAGACACGUCGUGAACACAAGCUCUUCAUCUCAGCUCCUUUAGCUUCAAUGUUCAUUUUCCUUUCUCGUUAAUAAAGCAUACAAACAGG
This is an RNA transcript of Puntigrus tetrazona (Sumatra barb), 1533 nucleotides long. It is a transcript of the gene named thymus, brain and testes associated, with no coding region annotated. The transcript is spliced from 8 exons. NCBI's taxonomy places the organism in Eukaryota, Metazoa, Chordata, Actinopteri, Cypriniformes, Cyprinidae. The record is from RefSeq and is a predicted model, not a curated record.